Molecule: long non-coding RNA, 181 nt
Filed under: Mustela putorius furo (domestic ferret)
Lineage: Eukaryota; Metazoa; Chordata; Mammalia; Carnivora; Mustelidae
Description: lncRNA (ENSMPUG00000025779.1)
Source: RNAcentral
CCCAGGCACCCUGCAAAAUUAACAAUCUUAUUUCUUCUCUGAUACACUAGCCUGUCUUCUCGAAGAGUUCUUUCAUGAAUAUCUCCUUGUCACAAGCCAAACUGGGUGCUUUGCGUGGUGGCCAGUUCGUAUGGUACUAUGGAGACUGAAGGAUAUACUUUGAAGAUAACAUACUCAUGCA